UACGUAGGGGGCAAGCGUUGUCCGGAUUUAUUGGGCGUAAAGCGCACGCAGGCGGUGCGGUAAGUUUCGAGUGACAGGUGGUGGCUUAACUGCCACAGGACUCGGAAAACUGCUGCACUUGAGGGCUUGAGAGGGAUGCGGAAUUCCAGGUGUAGCGGUGAAAUGCGUAGAUAUCUGGAGGAACACCGGUGGCGAAGGCAGGUCUCUGGGCCACUACUGACGCUGAGAAGCGAAAGCAUGGGGAGCGAACAGG
RNAcentral lists this ribosomal RNA (253 nucleotides) under uncultured bacterium. RNAcentral's name for it is "partial 16S ribosomal RNA". It matches the Rfam family "Bacterial small subunit ribosomal RNA", at positions 524 to 776 of the family's 1533-position model. The record is from RNAcentral.